Molecule: ribosomal RNA, 450 nt
Filed under: uncultured bacterium
Lineage: Bacteria
Description: partial 16S ribosomal RNA
Rfam family: Bacterial small subunit ribosomal RNA
Source: RNAcentral
CCUACGGGUGGCUGCAGUGGGGAAUUUUGGACAAUGGGCGAAAGCCUGAUCCAGCAAUGCCGCGUGAGUGAAGAAGGCCUUCGGGUUGUAAAGCUCUUUUGUUUGGGAAGAAAUCCCUAAGGAUAAUACCCUUGGGGGAUGACGGUACCAAAAGAAUAAGCACCGGCUAACUACGUGCCAGCAGCCGCGGUAAUACGUAGGGUGCAAGCGUUAAUCAGAAUUACUGGAGGCGGUGUGUUCAGAGGCGGGUGAAAGCCCCGAGCUCAACGUGGGAACUGCACUUGUGACUGCAAGACUAGAGUGGGCCAGAGGGAGGUAGAAUUCCACGUGUAGCAGUGAAAUGCGUAGAUAUGUGGAGGAAUACCAGUGGCGAAGGCGGCCUCCUGGGAUAACACUGACGCUCAUGUACGAAAGCGUGGGGAGCAAACAGGAUUAGAUACCCUUGUAGUC